UUAACGGCUGACAAAUUACGUGCCUGACUCCUGCCUUCACUAGCUCAGGCACUUGUUGUAACGCUCACGAGCUAUCAAGCUAACGAAACGAUGGCAGGGGCACAAUGGAAAAAGUGAAAAACGUAUCAUUUUCAUGUAGAAUGGGAACACUAUUUUCUGUUCACCGUAGUUAAGGACAGAAAUGAUUUGCUUGAUUCGUCACCAGGCUGUAGCGCUCUCAAAAAAGUAACUUGAGGCGGCACCAAAAACUCAACCCUCCCCAAGUUCAAAGAAACCUACCCGCUAAAGAGCAAGCUUUGUUCAAAGAAUUGACAAGUCUGUAUUGAAAGCACAGCAGUCUCUUUUUACCAAACCGACCGCUAAAAGUAAGGCUGGAGGCAUCCUUCUGUGUCAGCCAUCUCUUGGCUAAAUAUAAGAAACCGUUCACCGAUGGAGAGCUAUACAAGGAGGCAUUGGACAUUGCUGCCAAGAAAUUAUUCAAAAAAUUCAAAAACAAAGACAUUAAAAAUGCUAUCGAAGUGUGCCACUUGGCCCAGCCAUUGUGACAAAAAAAGGUAGAGUCGUUAUAGGAGGACGUGAAUCAACAAGUGCUCAAGGAUUUAUCACUUUGGGAGUGCUUAUCGCUGCAAUGGUGAUGGUGUUUGUUAACAUGGCUUUUAAGGAUUCAACUACUAAGGAGGCUUUUCUCAAUCUUUUACCAUUAAAAGGGACGACAAGAGGUGAGGACAUUUACAACGAGUUUAAACUUUACGUGCGCGAUAACAGCAUUCCUAUUCAUAAGCUGGUAGCGAUCACGACAGACUGGCAAAUCGACAGACUGGCAAUUCGUGGGGUGCAUUCGGGCUUCGUUGUACAGUGCCAUCGGUAUCCCAAUUUCCCAGAGUUUUUGAACUAUCACUGUGUGAUUCAUCAGCAAGCACUACAUAGUAAAGUAAUUAACUUGUCAUUAUGAUUGUUAAUUUGAUUCGUGCAAAAGGACUUCAGCACUGCUUGUUUAAAUCUUUAUUAGAUGAGCUUGAUGCCUCAUACAGUGACUUGAUUCUUCACGCUUGCGUAAGGUGCUUGAGUCGAGGGAAAGUGCUGCAGCGAUUUGUUGACUUGCUGCCCGAGAUCAAAUCAUUUCUGGAGUCACGAAAUGAGGAACAUGAGGGAACUGUCUGAUGCAUGGCUGCAAGAUGUAGGUUUCCUCACGGACAUAACAGCAAAACUGAACGAGCUCAACUAUGAGCUUCAAGGAAAAGACAAAGACACAUGAUCAGUGCUGUCAAUACCUUUAAGGCCUCUCAGCCCACACAGUUUCUCUGAAGGCUGGUGCGCUUCCCAAACAUGGAGAAAAUGUUGCAAAACCUUACAUAGAGGAGGAUGUUGCAUUUAUCUCAAACCCUUUCCUCCCCACUGAGAUUGAAGAAGUGUCCGCCAGAUUCCAGCAAGUAUGUGCUUUACCAAUCGAAGUUGACAUGGAGAUAAUUGAAUUGCAAAAUGACAUCGAGUUGAAAGCAAGACCAAGAGUCAUUUGGGGUCUUGUAAAAACUGAAAAGUGUCCCCUCCGUUUAUCCUGCAUCUCUGUGAGAUGGCCUUUUCACUGAUUAAAAGAAUCAAGUCAAAGAACAGGCCUUUUCUAACUAAUAGACAUCUCACAGACAGUGACAGACUUGCAGUGUCAAACUAUGAGCCAGACUACAGAGCACUUGCUGAUAGUGUGCAAUCACAGCCAUCACAUGAAUGUGUGUGUGUGGGGAGGGAGUUUCAUCCACAGCCAUUAGAGUGAUACUAUGAAGACACCCCUGAUCUCGACAAGAGGCUCAAUAUUCUGAGAAAUUCACAAUUCAGGGUAACGGCAAUCAUAUCUACCUAAGGGGGAAGGAUGGCCAGCCACACAGGACGGUGAUUUUUACUAAGGAGGAGAAGGAGGCCGUGCUGACAGAGAUGCAUGCUGGACAUUUUGGAGUGAAGUGCAUGAAUGCCAAAAUCAACCUACGCUUCUUCUGACGGCGAAUUGUCAAGGAGGUGGACAGCCGGGCAAGUGAAAUAACCUUUUGUUUAUCAAUCACAUUCUAUUAUAUCUGAAAUUAUUAUGAUUUCAAUUAAUGUCAUAUCAGAGAGCACACAAUGUUCCAUUUGUCACUUUUUUUUACAAAUUGGUCAGUAUCCUGUCUAGCCCGCCAGAAGUUUGAGAGGGCGAAGACUGUGGCACCGGAGUUGAAACCCAUCAAAGUUGUUUCACCAUGGCACAUGAUCGCGGUGGACCUCAUCGGACCCUUCGCGAAAUCCAGGAAUGUCAACAGCUGGUGUCUGACGGCGAUCAAUCACUUUAUCAAGUGGGUGGAGGCAAUACCCAUUAUGGACGAGACUAGCGAAGCCACCUCCAAGGCGAUGGUGGAGUAUCUUCAACAAACGCGGUUCUCCUGAGGUCAUCUUGAGUGACCGAGGUCAUGAACAUUGGAACAAGGUUUGGGAAAUGGACCAACCAGACCCUCAAGACUGCAUUGGGCAAGUCCCUUGAUACCAGGAAGGGUGGGAGAACAACCUGAAGGUAAUUCUCUUUGCACACAACAGCAGCAUCUACGCCGAGUACGGACGGGAGCCACAGCUGUUGACUGAGGUAAACAAUGCAAUUGCAUAUACAGUUAUUGCAUAUACUGUAGUCUUUCAAAUGUGUGAUUGUCUUAGUGUUGUGGUUGUCCUUUGCGGUUUUUGUAUAACGUACUUUCAGAUCACUAAAACCACACCUGAUGUGGUGGAAGUUGUCGAACCAGAUCAGACCCCCUUUGUGUACUACCUUCAUGGACUGAGGAGGAUGUGGAGGUUUUUGACCAGAUAAAAUGAUUGCCCGCUGUGAAAAAGAAUAUAUAACACUGCACUAAUCCAUUACAUUUUCUCACAGUAAAGUGUAACCUGUGUGUUUGCUUGUUUACGUCUGUCUCCUUUCCUUUUAAGUCUGCUCCUGUUCUCCAGGACCUAGGGGUUCUACCCAACACCCAGACGUGGAUCCACCUGAUGCCCUCCAUUACCAACCAUCCUCCAACUUCUCAUGACAUCAGCUAUUGUUAUUGUCAUGCUGUCAUUAUCUGCCAAGAAAGUUUCUUGCUCUAUCAUACUGAGCACAUAAUAUGUGAGAUACAGAGAUGAACUGCAAACACUCAGAACAAAGAGAGCAGCAGUCUCCCUCUUCAAGUCCCCCUUCUGAGAUUGGCUGCCUGUUGAGAACAAGUGACAGGCAAAAUUCCACACACUAGAAUUCAGUAUUUUAGUCUAUGAUAUCCAUAUGAGUGUACAACUAAACUAAUGACACAAGUGUACCAAAAACUAUCAAAGUUUAUGUAUUAAAAUCUUAAAUAUUGCCAGGUCGGUUUUCA
Oncorhynchus keta (chum salmon) is the source of this 3356-nucleotide long non-coding RNA. RefSeq lists it as uncharacterized. The transcript has 6 exons. The record is from RefSeq and is a predicted model, not a curated record. Lineage: Eukaryota; Metazoa; Chordata; Actinopteri; Salmoniformes; Salmonidae.